UCACAAAAAAAAGAUCUGCCCAAUUAUUCAUAUCUAGCCCCUUCAAAACUUUGGCUCACUUCGCCACUGAUUUGUUUCAUCACACUUCUAUGCAAAUACUUACGCCUAUAGAAUAGAAUACAUUAUAUCCUACAUAGAGUAAAUCAUGUAUAGUACUAUUGGUUCAAGUAGCAUCAUGUGACCGAAUAUAUUUCAACUCUGACGUCAUACCUCGAUAUAUUUUUGGAUACUAGUAUAUCGAGGUCUGACAUCAUUAUUUCACAAAACUGGAUCUAGCUAAACUCUCAGGCACACCGGCCAGCGCGCUCUCUCUCCCGGCAAGUCCAGCGAUGUGUCGGCACAGGCACUGAUCUGCGUUCUGCUGAGCACGAUGGCUCAGAGAAAAAUUCCCAUUCAGCCGUUGGACUGAACUGGUACUGUAACACAGUAUGGAUGGUCAAUAUGAAGCAAGCUUCAUCGAAUUCCUCCAAGAGCUCUGAACUCUGUUCUGAUCAUUUUGAAGAUGCUGCUUUGACAGGACUGGGCAAACGAUUCGUCUAAGACAGGAUGCUGUCCCAACCACAUUUAAUUUGCCGCCUCGUCAUCAGAAGAAUGCACACAAACCAGGGAAACCCUCGAAAGAAAGUCAUUUAGAUUCAGCAAGCAACCUCCCAGAUACUGCAAAGACACCUGUACCAAAGUCUUCAGCACCUUCCCUGGGACUACUACUCAAUGCCAAAAAUCUAAGAGGGAUGGAGACCAGCAGCAUGGCAGCAGGAGCUAAUGUUGGUCGUGAUGAGGCAUAUACCACCAUCAACAAUGCUGCAAUUGCAGUCACCACCACCAAGUCUGCUUCUGUCACUGCCAUCACCAUUGCCACCGCCAUUACCAAGACCACUCCUGACACAAAGCCCCCAAGUCCUCAACUGACCAGAUAUUGCAGCUGGAGAAGGAUAUACCAGGAACUUCAAAGCCAGGGCUUGCCAGUCUCCUACAAUAAGAAAAAUGCCAUGGGCCCAUCUAAUGAACUAGUAGUAGAAUAUUUGGCCACAGUUGUAGAAAUGCAGAGACUAACAUACUGCCACAGGUGAGGUUUUGUCCACAGUUCCAGAAGGACACAAAAUAGUAUCAGAAAGUCAUGCCAGAAUCAACAACUGAAGGGUUUGAAGAGCCAGAUAAAGAGCCGAGAAAUGUGAUUUUAAAGGUACUUCAAUCACAUGCACAGUAGGAGCAAAAACAGCAGCAAACACACAGGAGAUGUAACACUACAUUGACCAACAGCAACAACUACAGCAGCAUCAACAAUUUCUGCAGGAGAUGCAAAAACCACACUGGCAACCUCAACAACAUCAAGGUGUCCAACAAGCACUCCGGGAACGUUAACAGCAACCACAGCUUCAGCUGGAGUUUCAACAAA
Lytechinus variegatus (green sea urchin) is the source of this 1396-nucleotide long non-coding RNA. RefSeq lists it as uncharacterized. The record is from RefSeq and is a predicted model, not a curated record. Lineage: Eukaryota; Metazoa; Echinodermata; Echinoidea; Temnopleuroida; Toxopneustidae. The transcript is spliced from 6 exons.